Neltuma alba is the source of this 491-nucleotide long non-coding RNA. RefSeq lists it as uncharacterized. The transcript is spliced from 2 exons. The record is from RefSeq and is a predicted model, not a curated record. Lineage: Eukaryota; Viridiplantae; Streptophyta; Magnoliopsida; Fabales; Fabaceae.
AAUUCAUCUGCUGGCUAUGCACAAAUUGUCGGAUUGAGAUUCUAGAAAGGUGUUCUUCAUCCUCAGAAGUCGCUGGGCUUUAUCUGGCUGAGAUUUAAUAACUUCCUUUUGAUGAAGUAUAUAUAUUGUGCAUACUACCAAGGAAGAACCUGGCCACGAGUUACAGUGCAGGCAUUUCUUGUCUCUAAUUUAUCUUUGCACUCUCAAUUUAUUUAUUCAAUGAAAAGCUCGUUGUCUCUGAAGAUAUGCUUAUGUUUUGGGAUUUGAAGUCUUGUCAAUCUUCAAAUUUGGAGUAGAUUUAGCAUAUGAUGGAGGAUUGUUUCUCCAGCCAAAAUUAAGACAACUUUUUUCGAACUUUUGUUCGGCCAAAGAAUUGUUUUCAUCCAUGUUAUCUGUCUUAAUUCUUAAUUCGAUUCUUAUAUUUCAAAAACUAGGAACAUUUUGAUGUGUACCAUAUAAAAUGUGAAACCAGGUUUAUUAGUCAUUAUCUA